CCUACGGGGGCUGCAGUGGGGAAUAUUGGACAAUGGGCGAAAGCCUGAUCCAGCCAUGCCGCGUGUGUGAAGAAGGCCUUCGGGUUGUAAAGCACUUUCAGUGGGGAAGAAAGCCUUGGGGCUAAUACCCUCGAGGAAGGACAUCACCCACAGAAGAAGCACCGGCUAACUCCGUGCCAGCAGCCGCGGUAAUACGGAGGGUGCGAGCGUUAAUCGGAAUUACUGGGCGUAAAGCGCGCGUAGGCGGUCUGAUAAGCCGGUUGUGAAAGCCCCGGGCUCAACCUGGGAACGGCAUCCGGAACUGUCAGGCUAGAGUGCAGGAGAGGAAGGUAGAAUUCCCGGUGUAGCGGUGAAAUGCGUAGAGAUCGGGAGGAAUAACAGUGGCGAAGGCGGCCUUCUGGACUGACACUGACGCUGAGGUGCGAAAGCGUGGGUAGCAAACAGGAUUAGAUACCCUGUAGUC
Molecule: ribosomal RNA, 463 nt
Filed under: Vreelandella stevensii
Lineage: Bacteria; Pseudomonadati; Pseudomonadota; Gammaproteobacteria; Oceanospirillales; Halomonadaceae
Description: partial 16S ribosomal RNA
Rfam family: Bacterial small subunit ribosomal RNA
Source: RNAcentral